CUAAUACCGGAUAGGAGCUCCUGCUGCAUGGUGGGGGUUGGAAAGUUUCGGCGGUUGGGGAUGGACUCGCGGCUUAUCAGCUUGUUGGUGGGGUAGUGGCUUACCAAGGCUUUGACGGGUAGCCGGCCUGAGAGGGUGACCGGCCACAUUGGGACUGAGAUACGGCCCAGACUCCUACGGGAGGCAGCAGUGGGGAAUAUUGCACAAUGGGCGGAAGCCUGAUGCAGCAACGCCGCGUGCGGGAUGACGGCCUUCGGGUUGUAAACCGCUUUCGCCUGUGACGAAGCGUGAGUGACGGUAAUGGGUAAAGAAGCACCGGCUAACUACGUGCCAGCAGCCCGCGGUGAUACGUAGGGUGCGAGCGUUGUCCGGAUUUAUUGGGCGUAAAGGGCUCGUAGGUGGUUGAUCGCGUCGGAAGUGUAAUCUUGGGGCUUAACCCUGAGCGUGCUUUCGAUACGGGUUGACUUGAGGAAGGUAGGGGAGAAUGGAAUUCCUGGUGGAGCGGUGGAAUGCGCAGAUAUCAGGAGGAACACCAGUGGCGAAGGCGGUUCUCUGGGCCUUUCCUGACGCUGAGGAGCGAAAGCGUGGGGAGCGAACAGGCUUAGAUACCCUGGUAGUCCAUGCCGUAAACGAUGUCUACUAGCCGUUGGGGCCUUUGAGGCUUUAGUGGCGCAGCUAACGCGAUAAGUAGACCGCCUGGGGAGUACGGUCGCAAGACUAAAACUCAAAUGAAUUGACGGGGGCCCGCACAAGCGGUGGAGCAUGUGGUUUAAUUCGAUGCAACGCGAAGAACCUUACCUGGUCUUGACAUAGUAAGAACUUUCCAGAGAUGGAUUGGUGCCUUCGGGAACUUACAUACAGGUGCUGCAUGGCUGUCGUCAGCUCGUGUCGUGAGAUGUUGGGUUAAGUCCCGCAACGAGCGCAACCCUUUUCCUUAUUUGCCAGCACUUCGGGUGGGAACUUUAAGGAUACUGCCAGUGACAAACUGGAGGAAGGCGGGGACGACGUCAAGUCAUCAUGGCCCUUACGACCAGGGCUACACACGUGCUACAAUGGUCGGUACAAAGGGUUGCUACCUAGCGAUAGGAUGCUAAUCUCAAAAAGCCGAUCGUAGUCCGGAUUGGAGUCUGCAACUCGACUCCAUGAAGUCGGAAUCGCUAGUAAUCGCGGAUCAGAAUGCCGCGGUGAAUACGUUCCCGGGCCUUGUACACACCGCCCGUCACACCAUGGGAGUUUGUUGCACCAGAAGUAGGUAGUCUAACCGUAAGGAGGACGC
This 1276-nucleotide ribosomal RNA is filed under the name Cutibacterium acnes. RNAcentral describes it as "partial 16S ribosomal RNA". It matches the Rfam family "Bacterial small subunit ribosomal RNA", at positions 163 to 1453 of the family's 1533-position model. The record is from RNAcentral. Lineage: Bacteria; Bacillati; Actinomycetota; Actinomycetes; Propionibacteriales; Propionibacteriaceae.